GACGAACCGUCCAAACGUUACUCGGAAUUACUGGGCUUAAAGGGUGCGUAGGCUGCGCGGAAAGUUGGGUGUGAAAUCCCUCGGCUCAACCGGGGAAUUGCAUUCAAAACUACCGUGCUCGAGGGAGACAGAGGUAAGCGGAACUCAAGGUGGAGCGGUGAAAUGCGUUGAUAUCUUGAGGAACACCGGUGGCGAAGGCGGCUUACUGGGUCUCUUCUGACGCUGAGGCACGAAAGCUAAGGUAGCAAACGGG
This 253-nucleotide ribosomal RNA is filed under the name uncultured bacterium. RNAcentral describes it as "partial 16S ribosomal RNA". It matches the Rfam family "Bacterial small subunit ribosomal RNA", at positions 524 to 776 of the family's 1533-position model. The record is from RNAcentral.